Molecule: transfer RNA, 35 nt
Filed under: Picea abies (Norway spruce)
Lineage: Eukaryota; Viridiplantae; Streptophyta; Pinopsida; Pinales; Pinaceae
Also listed under: 5 other names
Description: tRNA-Ile
Source: RNAcentral
GGGCGAGGUCUCUGGUUCAAGUCCAGGAUAGCCCA